UACGAAGGGGGCUAGCGUUGCUCGGAAUCACUGGGCGUAAAGCGCACGUAGGCGGCUUGUUAAGUCAGGGGUGAAAUCCUGGAGCUCAACUCCAGAACUGCCUUUGAUACUGGCGAUCUUGAGUCCGGAGGAGGUGAGUGGAACUCCUAGUGUAGAGGUGGAAUUCGUAGAUAUUAGGAAGAACACCAGUGGCGAAGGCGGCUCACUGGUCCGGUACUGACGCUGAGGUGCGAAAGCGUGGGGAGCAAACAGG
Molecule: ribosomal RNA, 253 nt
Filed under: uncultured bacterium
Lineage: Bacteria
Description: partial 16S ribosomal RNA
Rfam family: Bacterial small subunit ribosomal RNA
Source: RNAcentral